GAGACGGGACCCGAGAAAACCACGAUGGACCAUGAUACAUUCAAUGUGUCCACACGCCUCACCCUAAAUCUGCCAUGAACACAUGCCAAAAGACUCAGCCUUCAAAAAGAGAAAUGCUGUGGUGUUUCAAAAAGCUUUAUCCUGAUCGAGGGUGGGACAACAUCUGUGACUGUGUGACCUAAACGGUCGGCCGUACACCUCUGCAGAUUCUGUUUGAUGAGCCAAAUAAAGCUAUCAACGGGAGGCCUAUAAUCCUCUCAG
Scomber scombrus (Atlantic mackerel) is the source of this 261-nucleotide long non-coding RNA. RefSeq lists it as uncharacterized. The record is from RefSeq and is a predicted model, not a curated record. NCBI's taxonomy places the organism in Eukaryota, Metazoa, Chordata, Actinopteri, Scombriformes, Scombridae. The transcript has 3 exons.